RNAcentral lists this long non-coding RNA (4463 nucleotides) under Sus scrofa (pig). RNAcentral describes it as "lncRNA (ENSSSCG00060031559.1)". The record is from RNAcentral. Lineage: Eukaryota; Metazoa; Chordata; Mammalia; Artiodactyla; Suidae.
AGGAAGAAUACAAGACAUUUUGAUAGAACUGACAGAGCACAAAAUACCAUGGAGAGGUGACAAAAGGAGUAAUUUGUGUUUGCUGGAACAUGAAGUUGUGGAGGCCAAAAAUAAUUGUUUCUGAAAAGAGCCUUUAAAGAAUGGAAUAAUCACCAGAAAUACAGAGAGACCAUGCCAAGAGUAAGGAGGAGAAGGCACAAAGGCAUAGUAUCAGGGAAGAAUUUUCUAGGAAUAAUGAAUAUUUCAAGUUAGCUGGACCAUAAGUACAUAAGGGGAAGUGGUGAGGCCUCAGAAUUAUAACUUUGUUCAAUAUUAUGUAAUGAACUUAUGUAAUGUCUAUUGAAUGCCUGGCCAGAGCCUGGACUUGAUCCUAAAGGCAGUGAAGGGCCAUUGAGAGAUUUGAGGACUUGAAGAAAAUAUCUGGAGCUACAGUUCAGGAAGAUUGUUCUGAUGCUAGUUUGGAGCAAAAUCUGCAUUUACAAACCUAAAAAUAAUUUUCCUGACUGUUAUUUUAACAUUUAAUGAGUUAAAUUCUCAGCGGUCUGUAUUCCCUGUUCUCUCUUCCAACUAAGCAUGUAUUGUUUUCAAAGUUUGGAGAGAAGAGAAAUAAUAAAUAACAUGUUAUUAUUUCAUACCUAUGAUGUCACAAUAUAGGAGUUAUAACCUUGGUUUUCAGAUAAGGAAAGCAGUGGUUGGCUUGGGGAAAGAACAGAAGGACUUUUGGGGAAAGGCAUGCCUGGAGGCCAGCACCCUAGUUGGUGAAUGCUUGAAAAAAUGUUUUGAUGUUGAGUCUGAGCCACACGGCCUUCUGCUAACAUGGUUUAAGUGCAUCUGUACAGGGAAGGAACUACCUAUUUUGAUUGCCUGAAUUCAAAUUAUGGCUCUCAUACUUACCUAUUGGAUGACUUGGGGCUAAUGCAUAAACUUCUUUAAUCCUCAGGUUCCUCAUCUGUAAAAUGGAAUGCUAAAACUGUGUACCUCAUAGAGUAGAAUUAAAUAAGUUAAUAAGCAAAAGCACUAAAACAGUGUCUAGCACAUAGUAUGUACUGUGUAAUAAAAAUAUUCGCUAUUUUAAUAGGACUGUUGCCACUAAUGAUAAUGAUGUAUUCUAAAUGCCUAGAACACUACUGUACAAAAGAGGUGCUAAGUUGUAUUUGAGUUAAUAGAUGGAUUAAUGAAAAUUCUACCCAAGUAAUUUCUAUGAGAAAUUUAAUGAACUUAUGUAAUUUCUAUAAAGGUGAUCGCAAACCACAAAGACCUCAGGACUGACUGCUCACUGAAGCAAAGUUAAGUGUUAGAAUACUUGGUACUCAAGAUGCAAGGUGAUCAGGAUAGGAUCCCUAUUAUUCAGAUCUUGUAUAGAGUGCUCAAAACAAACUAUAUUAUUAAUUUAGCACAGUAAUUAGCAAAAUUCUCAAAAGGUUUCCUUUAUUUCAGUUAUUUCACUUAUGAUAUAAAACAUAGUCACAAAACAGAAAGCUUGAUGCACAGAAAUGUUCACCAUAUUUAUAAUUGCAAAAAAAAAACUCAGCCCAACAUCUAAAUGUGGCAAAAUGAGUAAACAAAUUGGCAAGCAUUCAAUGAAAGGAACAUUAGCCAUACUCUUUAAAUGUCAUAGUAAGACAUAUAUAUUAGAAGAUAUAUAUAUGCAUUAGAUACAUGUCAUAAUAAGAUAUUAGAAGACAUACGUAUUAUAUGUAAGUUUUAUUGACGUCUAGUUGGUUUUCAAUGUCAUGAUUGUUUUGCUGUACAACAAAGUGAUUUAGUUAUACAUGUACACAUAUCCAUUCUUUAUUCAGAUUCUUUUUCCAUAUGGGUUAUCACAGAGUAUUGAGUAACGUUCCCUGUGCUAUAUAUACAGCAAGUCUCCAUUGGCCAUCCAUUCCAUAUGCAAUAAUGUGUAUAUGCCAAUACGAAACCCCCAGUCUAUCCCUCCCCCCACCUUUCCCCUUUGGUAACCACAAGUUUGUUUUGAAGUCUAUGUCUGUUUCUGUUUUGUAAAUAAGUUCACUUUUAUCCUUUUUUUUUUUUAGAUUCCACAUAUUGGUGAUAUCCUUUGAUGUUUGUCUUCAUCUGACUGACUUCAUUUAGUAGGACAGUCUUUCUAGGUCCACCCAUGUUGACGCAAAUGGCAUUAUUUCAUUACUUUUAUGGCUGAGUAAUAUUACAUUGUACAUCUUCUUUAUCCAUCCAUCGAUGGACACUUAGGUUGCUUCCAUGUGUCUUGACUUUUGUGAAUAGUGCUGCAAUGAACACAGGGGUACAUGUAUCUUUUUGAAUUAUAGUUUUCUCUGUAAGUCUGGGAUUCUGGGAUUGCUGGGUCAUAUGCUAGUUCUAUUUUUAGAGAACUAGCAUACUGUUAGAGGAGCCCCAUACUGUUUUCCAUAGUGGUUGUACCAAUUUGCAUUCCCAUCAAUAGUGUAGGAGGGUUCCUUUUUCUCCACUCCCUCUCCCACCAUUUGUUAUUUGUAGACUUGUUAAUGAUGGCCUUUCUGACUGCUAUGAGGUAGCGCAUCAUUGUAGUUUUGGAUUUGCAUUUCUCUAAUAAUUAGUGAUAAUGAGCCCCUUUUCAUCUGUAUGUCGUCUUUGAAGAAAUGUCUUCAGGUCUAAUCCUUUUUUGAGUGAGUUGUUUGUUCUUUGGAUACAGAAGUGCAUGAGUUGUUUGUAUGUCUUAGAGAUGAUCCCUGUCAGUUGCUUUUUUUGAAAAUAUUUUCUCCCAUUCUUUGGGUUCUCUUUUCAUUUUGUUUAUAGUUUCCUUUGUUGUGCAAAAGCUUGUAAGUUUCAUUAGGUCUGAUUUAUUUAUUUUUGUUUUUUUAUUUACAUUAGUAGGUGGAUCCAAAAAAAAAUUAAUGCUGUGAUUUGUGUCAAAGAUUGUUCUGUUUUUUCUUCUAAUAAGAGUUUUAUAGUAUCCUGUCUUACAUUUAGCUCUUUAAUCCAUUUUGGAUUUAUUUUUGUGUAUGGUGUUAGAGAAUCUUCUAACUUGAUUCUUUUACAUGUAAGUGUCAAGUUCUCCCAGCACCACUUACUGAAGAGACUGUCUUCUCUCCAUUGUAUGUUCUUGCCUCCUUUGUGAUAAGUUGACCAUAGGUGAGUGGUUACUUCUGGGCUUUUUACCCUGAUCCAUUGAUCUGUAUUUCUGUUUUUGUGUCAGUAAUGUAGGAAUGUUAUCAAAUUGCUAUAAGAGGAGGGAAGAAGAAAAACCCUGUAUCUAGAAUAUGUUUUGCUUAACCUAGGAUCUAUAAACAGAUAUAAAUUUCCAAUGAGCUUUCUGAAUUUUAUGCAAAAUUCUGUUUAUAUGGAUUGUGUCUAUGGUAUGUAUAUAGCAAAUUUUAUGUCCAUGUCUGUGACCCCUCAACAAGGUAAGCACUGGUGUUUUGGAACACAUUUAAGUCUAGAUUGAGGUACUUUAGGUAGAUUAGCUAUAGACCUGUGUAUCAAGAGAAGACAAAAUAUAUCUGAUAUUAAAUCUACAGGCAUGUCACUCAAAGACUCAUAGCGCUGGGCAGUCUGUUGCCCACGGACCAAACCUGUCCACUCUUAUUUUUGCAUGGCCCAUAAGCUAGAAUCUUUAAUAUUUUUCAAGAGUUAUGGGUGGGAGUGGGGUGAGGGAUAACAACAAAAAAGAUAUGAGACAGAGACCAUAAGUGGCUUGCAAAACCUAAAUAUUUAUUUAUUUAUUAUAUCUUUAUUAUUUUUUAUUUUUUCCUCUGUACAGCAUGGGGACCACAUUACACAUACAUGUAUGCAUACUUUUUCGUCCCAUUGUUGUGCUGCAAUGUAAGUAUCUAGAUAUAGUUCUCAAUGCUACACAGCAGGAUCUCAUUGUAAAUCCAUCCCAAAAGCAAUAGUUUGCAUCCCUUAACCCCAAGCUCCUGAUCCCUCCCACUCCCUCCUCCCUCCUCCCCCACCCCCCAGAGGCAGCAACAAGUCUAUUCUCCAACUCCAUGAUUUUCUUUUCUAUGGAAAUGUUCAUUUGUGCUGUACAUUAGAUUCCAGUUAUAAGUGAUAUCAUAUGGUAUUUAUCUUUCUCUUUCUGAUUUACUUCACUCAGUAGGAGAGUCUCUAGUCCCAUCCAUGUUGCUGCAAAUGGCAUUAAGUCAUUCUUUUUUAUGGCUGAGCAGUAUUCUGUUGUGUAUAUAUACCACAUCUUCCUAAUCCAAUCAUCUGUUGAUGGACAUUUGGGUUGUUCCCAUGUCUUGGCUAUUGUGAAUAGAGCUGCAAUGAACAUGCGGGUACAUGUGUCUUUUUUAAGGAAAGUUUUGUCUGGAUAUACGCCCAAGAGUGGGUUUGCUGGGUCAUAGGGUAGUUCUGUGUAUAGAUUUCUAAGCUAUCUCCAUACUGUUCUCCAUAGUGGCUGUACCAGUUUACAUUCCCACCAACAGUGCAGGAGGGUUCCCUUUUCUCCACAGCCCCUCCAGCACUUGUUAUUUGUGGACUUAUUAAUGAUGGCCAUUCUGACUGGU